GAUGAAGAACGUAGUGAAAUGCGAUAAGUAGUGUGAAUUGCAGAAUUCAGUGAAUCAUCGAAUCUUUGAACGCACAUUGCGCCCUUUGGUAUUCCUUAGGGCAUGCCUGUUCGAGCGUCAUUUAAACCUUCAAGCUAAGCUUGGUGUUGGGUGACUGUCCGCUUCACGGCGGACUCGCCUCAAAAUUAUUGGCGGCCGGUACAUUGGCUUCGAGCGCAGCAGAAACGCGAACUCGGGCCCGUCGUAUUGGCUCCCAGAAGCUAUCUUCACAAUUUUGACCUCGGAUCAGGUAGGGAUACCCGCUGAACUUAAGCAUAUCAAUAAGCGGAGGA
RNAcentral lists this unclassified non-coding RNA (332 nucleotides) under soil metagenome. RNAcentral describes it as "partial contains 5.8S ribosomal RNA, internal transcribed spacer 2, and large subunit ribosomal RNA". The stretch from base 1 to 120 matches the Rfam family "5.8S ribosomal RNA", at positions 35 to 154 of the family's 154-position model. The record is from RNAcentral.